This is a long non-coding RNA of Magallana angulata, 1450 nucleotides long. RefSeq lists it as uncharacterized. Lineage: Eukaryota; Metazoa; Mollusca; Bivalvia; Ostreida; Ostreidae. The record is from RefSeq and is a predicted model, not a curated record. The transcript is spliced from 3 exons.
GAUGUCUAUAGCUAUAUAUCGACCUCGUAGAUACCUGGAGAUCCAGAUAUUGACCGGAAUCUGAUUUCCCUUUGCUCUCAUUUAAAGGUGAGCCAGGCAUGAAUGAUUUAAUCUCUUGUUGCCUCUAGAAAACAUGGUGGAAAUCGCACGCAGAGCAAACAUGUCAAUCAGCUUGUGAAAUUCCCAAUUGAUACUUCGCCAAAAUACCGCUGGACGGGCAGAAAUCUCCAAUAGCCUCUCAAUCUGGAUUUCGAAGAACAGUUGUAAACAGUUGUAAUGGGAUGUAGCUCUUCCGUAGCCUCGCUUCCAUCGGAACCAUUGAAAAGCAAAAGCGGAAGUGACCUGAGAACCACGGACAUAAUGGACUGGGAAAUUUUACAAGAAAAAUUGGGCUAUAAGGGAGAUGGAUCUAGGAAUGUGUCGCCAAAGGACUCGAGGAAGUUGUCGAACUCUGACAAUAUGAUACCACCGAAACGAGAGACCGGAGAAACAAAUGUAAACUUCAAGGUAAUCAAAAAAGAGGAGAAGUCCCGGAAAAGACCAAAAUCAAAACAGAAGAUGAAUUCCACUCCACUGACAUUGCAAGAAGUGGAUGAAUUCGAGUGAUGUUGGCUAUAUCACAGAAUUUGAAAUCAAUUUAGGAUAUAUAAAGGAUAGGUAAAAUUUGGAUGGAUAACAAAGUGGUUAACUACUUAAUAAGACCAGUUUAGUAAAAUCGGGAACAACUGCAACGAUCCUUCAAAGGGUGUGAAAAAUAUAUACGUUUAUAUUUAUUUAGAAGUAAUAGAGUAUGUAUGUUAUUUCAAAUACAGAUUGGAGAUUAAUUUCACUAUAAUAAGAUGUUGUGUCGUAGGGUGUUGAAAGUAUAUUAUGUAUAUACCCGAAUAUUAUAUUUAAGAUCAAUUGUUAUUAACGAGAUACAUGUAGCAAACCUACUGGCAAAUAAUUCAUUUACAUGAGAACAUAAAUAUAUAUUAUGAUGAAUAAAGAUUUUGAUGUUUUACCUUUUUCUCUAUCGUCGGAACCCAGUGGUUUUCUAUCCGUUACACGUUGAAAGCAGUGUAACGGAUAGAAAACCCGUGGGUUCCGACGAUGCUUUUUUUCUACAAGUUUACGCGUAAAAUGUACAAAUUCUUAUAUGAACUGAUAUAUUUUCUGUUGUAAAUAACAAGCAAAGAGAUUAUAUAGCAACCUAUUAUAAAUACAUGUGCAGUUUAAGAGGCAAUUAAUUAUGAAAUGAUUAUCUUAAUUACACGUAUAAAGGAUUAAAUAAAAAAAAAAUGGAAUUUACAUUCUAUGUUUUUUUGAUUUAACAUAGACUUGUAAGGCAUUGAAUGCUUUUUUUUUAGGCAUCGUCGAAAUUGAAUACUGCGCGUGAGUGGUAUGAUCAUAAUUUAAUUUAUCCUUAAUUUCCUUAUUUUCCUAUCAAUUUUGUACAAACUCCAAAAAG